CAAACAAACCUCUAUCUUCCUGUAGCUUGUACCCAACUUUAUUCUCUGGAAUUAAUGGCAAAUUUGGCAAUAAUCAGCGGCGUCGCGCCGUGCAUAAUAAUGAAAAAGGCACUCACCAUACCCAGGCGAGUGCGAGUACUAUCCCCCAGUUGGCCCCCCCGGUCCCGCCAUAAUUCUAAUGUCGACCCAGACAUGCCGCAGUCACACGUUCAAAUUACCCCAAUUCCGUGCGGGCAGCAGCGACAUCGGCAGCAAAUAUGUAAAAAAGUGUUCAUAAAUGAAAUGUGAGGGACUGUGGGCAUCGACAUGGCUGUGGCAUGGGUAGGGGGCGUGUACAAGACUCAUGGGAAUGGCUCCUCCCCCUCCUCCCCACAAUCAAGCUUUGAUUCAGCAUUGUGUCUGCCUGCCCCACUGAUGGUCUGCCCGACUGUCUGUCGGACACUUGUCUUAGACCAUUUUUCAUUUCAUUUCCAUUUGCCAAUCUCCGAUUCCCAGUCUCAGCUCAGCAGUGGCCUGCUUUUGGCUGUUGCGCUUUUUGGCAUGAGAAGAAGAUUGGAGGAGACUCAUUUCAUUUGACAGGAAUAUUUUCGCUGAAUUAUCGUAAAUAAGUAUAUACAAUGGUGAU
Molecule: long non-coding RNA, 625 nt
Organism: Drosophila subobscura
Lineage: Eukaryota; Metazoa; Arthropoda; Insecta; Diptera; Drosophilidae
Exons: 3
Source: RefSeq, a predicted model, not a curated record